GGAGGGAUCAUUAACGAAAGGUCGCAAGACCUAGACCCUUCAAACCUGUGGAAGCGAGACGUGCUUCGGCAGAGUCGCUCUCGGCCUGCCGCAUUUAUGCUGUCUGGUGUUUGUGUCUGAAUUUCGAAAAGAAUCAAAACUUUCAACAAAGGAUCUCUUGGCUCUCGCAUCGAUGAAGAACGCAGCGAAGCGCGAAAUGUAGUGUGAAUCGCAGAACAUUGUGAAUCAUCGAAUCUUUGAACGCACAUUGCGCCUCUCCUCUCGGGGAGGCAUGCCUGUCUGAGCGUCAUUUAAACCAUGGACCCGCCCUCGGGUUCCGUGCUGGGUCUCGCCCUCCUCUGGCGUCUCCUCAAAGUCAUCGGUCUACACGAGCGGACGAAAUCCUUCAGGACUGACCGUUCGUCGUACUUUAAAUCUCCAGAAUUGACCUCAGAUCAGGUAGGACUACCGCCUGAACUUAAGCAUAUCAAUAAGGCGAGGAACAGAAACCAACAGGGAUUCCCCCAGUAGUGGCGAAUGAAGCGGGAAAAGCUCAAGUUUGAAAUCUGAGAGGCUUGUCCGAUCAGAGUUGUAAGCUGAAGAGGCGUCGGCCGAUGGGGUCCGGGCCCAAUUCUCUUGGAACAGAGAGUCAUGGAGGGUGAGAACCCCGUAAAUGGCUCGGAUACCCCGUCCUAGUGUCGUGUCCUCGAAGAGUCGGGUUGUUUGGGAAUGCAGCUCAAAAUGGGUGGUAAAUUUCAUCUAAGGCUAAAUAUUGGCGAGAGACCGAUAGCGAACAAGUAGAGUGAUCGAAAGAUGAAAAGUACUUUGAAAAGAGAGUGAAACAGUACGUGAAAUUGUUGAAAGGGAAGCGUUUGGCAUCAGCCCAUGGCCGUCGUCGAUCAUCCAGGCUUCUGUCUGGUGCACUCGUCGGCGGUCGGGCCAGCGUCGGCUCCGCCUGCCGGAUAAAGGCCUUGGGAAUGUGCCUCCCUUCGGGGAGGGUUAUAGCCCUCGGCGUCAUGCGGCACGGCGGGGCCGAGGUCCGCGGUUCUUCCUAGGACGCUGGCGUAAUGGUUCCAAGCGACCCGUCUUGAAACACGGACCAAGGAGUCUAACAUCUAUGCGAGUGUUUGGGUGUCAAGCCCGUCCGCGCAAUGAAAGUGAAUGCAGGCGGGAGCCUUUAGAGGGUGCACCGUCGACCGGUCCGGGGGUUUACCGAAGGAUCUGAGUAAGAGCAUAGCUGUUGGGACCCGAAAGAUGGUGAACUAUGCCUGAAUAGGGUGAGGCCAGAGGAAACUCUGGUGGAGGCUCGAAGCGGUUCUGACGUGCAAAUCGAUCGUCGAAUUUGGGUAUAGUGGCGAAAGACUAAUCGAACCAUCUAGUAGCUGGUUCCUGC
RNAcentral lists this unclassified non-coding RNA (1372 nucleotides) under uncultured fungus. Its description in RNAcentral is "sequence contains 18S rRNA gene, ITS1, 5.8S rRNA gene, ITS2, 28S rRNA gene". The stretch from base 425 to 1372 matches the Rfam family "Eukaryotic large subunit ribosomal RNA", at positions 1 to 961 of the family's 3401-position model. Lineage: Eukaryota; Fungi. The record is from RNAcentral.